GGUUAAAUCAAAAGAAAUAGAAAUAAAAAUAGAGACAUGUAUUUGUGGCUUUUUUGCCGAAACUGCUGUUCAAAGUGUAUUCUAUAUUAUUUGCAAGUAAAUCGUGUAGGUCAACAGCAAAUACUAGUCAAAGCACUUUGUGGACUUUAAAACACAAAUUCAAACUGCAGAUUGCAAGAAUCAACAAAUUUUCAAAACUUUCAAAUAUUUCUUACUGGGGUGGCGGAUGUCUACGCCGUGUUAGAGUAGAUUAAAGUGAUUUUUCCGGGAAAUGUUAAAGAAUUUUCCAGUCUUUAAUUAUUGUAUUAGAAUUUCAGUCAGCACUGCAGGUUUUUCAGAGAUAAUUUUCCACGGGUGCUUACAAAAAAUGAUUUAUACGGUGCAUCUCUUCAUGGAUUUCAUAAAAAGUUUCAUGGUUGCAAUUUGUGUUAUGGUUUUAGAUUCGAUUUGAUGAGUAUUUAGUUACACUAAAAUGUAACUUCUUACUUACUGUUAUAUAUAAAGCAUUCAUAAAGUUCCAUAUAACACGAU
This 531-nucleotide long non-coding RNA is filed under the name Mytilus galloprovincialis (Mediterranean mussel). The record is from RNAcentral. Lineage: Eukaryota; Metazoa; Mollusca; Bivalvia; Mytilida; Mytilidae.